Long non-coding RNA from Chenopodium quinoa (quinoa), 664 nucleotides. RefSeq lists it as uncharacterized. Lineage: Eukaryota; Viridiplantae; Streptophyta; Magnoliopsida; Caryophyllales; Amaranthaceae. The record is from RefSeq and is a predicted model, not a curated record. The transcript has 3 exons.
UCCAACGCGUUAGAUCUGUGUACAUUUCACCCGCCUCAUUAAGGGCAUUUUCGUAAUUUUGUCCAUUAAACGACCUUUGUUCUAACUUUCUUUCUCUUCCUCUUACUUUCUCUCUCUACAUUUUUUCUCUCUCUCUACCUCCGUACUCUCUAAAAGUCUGAAGGCGAUUUCGCUCAUUGAGUUCAUAAGUUUUCCUCUUCGAUUUCGCAAAUUGUUUGAUUAUUCUUCUACGUUCUUGUUUUUGCUGUGAUUCGUACCCUCUGAAUUUUCUCUAAUUGUCUUUCUUUCAGCGAAUUUUUUUACGCUGUUCUUGUUGUUGGACGAAUCCGCUUUUCUCCUGUGAGGCAAGUAGGCAACUAUAUUAGACAAGUCUUCGCCUCUUCGAUGCCUACGUGCGAUUUUCUAUCUAAGGUAAUGGAAGCUCCUAGGGUCUGGAAAAUUUUAUAAUGCUACAGCAAUGUUAAUAAGGGUAAACAUGUUAAUGGGGUCCAUAUAUGGUUCAUUUAUGAUUCUUGGGGUGUUUAUUUCUGUAAUUUUAUUUUUAAACCUUAAAAAUAAAAGGUUAGGGUGGCGUGCAAUGUAGGAAAUUAGGAAGGAUAUUCUUUCACCCCACUUGGCAGGGAAUAAUAAUUUUUAGUAUUAGUAAAAUUCUUUUUGAGGUUAA